UGUGGCCCUCGACAAUAAGCUAAACAUUUACAACGUAAAAGGUCCCGAUAAGAAAUAAUGAAGAACAAGUUACAAGAGAAGACAAACGAAUAGAUAAUUGCUACUACAAUGAACGAAAAAAAAGGCAGACAGAAAACUAGUACAACCUCUGGAUAAAGGGCCCUACCUUAAAUGAGACAGACAAGGUUUAAUGUCGUGCGUGUGUGUGUGUGUGCGUGUAAGUAGAUUUUUCUUUUCCCCAGAACUGAACGCAAUUGAUUGGAGGACGUUGUGUAAAUUUUGAUAGGACCAAAAUUAGAGUAUGCCAAACAGAAGAAUACUUUGUGCCUUUAUUUGAUAACCAGCACAUUCGGCAAAACUACACAAGAAAUAAAACACAACAACUAAUCUACCAACGCCUUAGUUCAACCAAUGUAUUGUAUGAUGAAAAACAUGUAUACACAACUGACACUGUCAAUCUGCUUAGCAAUGCGACAGUCAAAAUGCUUCUGAUCUUAAAGCUUAUAAAAUAUAAGGCUAAGAUUUAGCUAGCUAUAAAACCAGGAUUUAUUCACCUUUUUCUUCGGAAAACGCCUGUAACAAGUUAGAUAUAUGGAAGUUGUUUUUCACUUCCUUGUUUUAAAGUUUGAUAGCGUUUUAUUUUUUUAGUUUUUAUGAACUUCUCCUUUUUAAUCUGACUUAGAGUUCAGUAUUUUUGUUAUACGUUUUCAAUAGUUUACAUAUUGCAUGGAAUUCGAUACUGCUUUGAUGUUAGCUAGUUUUCUUACAAUGCAUCAAUUAUUUUAAAUGAACCUGGUUCAUAUGAUGUGCCUUUAUUGAUUUAGCAUUGCUCUCUGUAAAUAUGUUAUCCAUGGUUAUCGUAAGCACUUGCAUUCAGAUGAAAAUUAAUAUUACAAUUGUAAAUUGUGGAAAUAAUAGUUAUGUUCUUAUCAUUUUUGUAAAUAUACUUAAUGUGUUUUACAUUAUUACUAGUAGUGUACAUAGAAUAAAUGUCCAGAAUGAAACAAUAUUUGCUGACGCGUCAUUAGUACCACUCGUUAUAAGAAAACUUGAAGUAGCUGUUAGACUGCCGUUGUUUGGUGCAGGUUGUAUUCCCAGUAUAUUACAGAUCAUAGGAUAGAUAUCAAUACUCCUAAAUGUGUUGGUUGUAUAAUUUUCUUUGAUAUUUGGACCUCUAGCCAGAAAUAUUGGUUUCAUACUAUUUAGACGGUUGUCAUAACCAUGUGCGCCUUUCCCAUGAUACAUUGCUGCUUUUCGUUUGUUCUGAAAUGAAAAAAAAAGCAAGUGACUUUCAUUACUGUAUAACCUUGUGUUGUACAGACAAAUGACAGCGAAAAAUACAGACAGCGUUUGUCAGCUGUCUACCAUACGUGUCAAUCUGUAUUCAAAUAAUGUUUAAAAUCUAUGUUUUAUAAUUUCAUGUAUUGUAUUGGAUGCAAUUAUUUCU
This 1447-nucleotide long non-coding RNA is filed under the name Mytilus galloprovincialis (Mediterranean mussel). The record is from RNAcentral. Lineage: Eukaryota; Metazoa; Mollusca; Bivalvia; Mytilida; Mytilidae.